This 383-nucleotide ribosomal RNA is filed under the name uncultured bacterium. RNAcentral describes it as "bacterial SSU rRNA". It matches the Rfam family "Bacterial small subunit ribosomal RNA", at positions 28 to 409 of the family's 1533-position model. The record is from RNAcentral.
GACGAACGCUGGCGGCGUGCUUAACACAUGCAAGUCGAGCGGUAAGGCCCUUUCGGGGGUACACGAGCGGCGAACGGGUGAGUAACACGUGGGUGACCUGCCCUCAGCUCUGGGAUAAGCCUGGGAAACCGGGUCUAAUACUGGAUAUGACUCCAUGACGCAUGUUGUGGGGUGGAAAGCCUUGUGCGGCUGAGGAUGGGCCCGCGGCCUAUCAGCUUGUUGGUGGGGUGANGGCCUACCAAGGCGACGACGGGUAGCCGGCCUGAGAGGGCGACCGGCCACACUGGGACUGAGACACGGCCCAGACUCCUACGGGAGGCAGGCAGGUGGGGAAUCUUGCGCAAGUGGGCGAAAGCCUGACGCAGCGACGCCGCGUGAGGGAU